AGCUCUGUAGUGAAAUUUCAUAUUGAAUUGCAAAUUCAAAGAAGCAGCUUCAAUUCUGCCGGGGCUU
Molecule: transfer RNA, 67 nt
Filed under: Mephitis macroura (hooded skunk)
Lineage: Eukaryota; Metazoa; Chordata; Mammalia; Carnivora; Mephitidae
Also listed under: 1 other name
Description: tRNA-Cys
Rfam family: tRNA
About the family: Transfer RNA (tRNA) molecules are approximately 80 nucleotides in length. Their secondary structure includes four short double-helical elements and three loops (D, anti-codon, and T loops).
Source: RNAcentral